AUCCAGUCCCGCUGCAACGAGAUGGGAAGGGGUCACCGUGAACCUCUGCAGGAGACCUGCGUACUGUAGGCACGUAGCUGCCAGCCCCGGCCGUACCUACGCAGCCCCGCACCGCUGCAGCUGGGAGGUUGGGAUCUUUUCAUGCUCUCAGCACCGAAGUCCCCUCCCAAAAGUAGCAGCAUCCCCAGGGACUUACACACGUGGCUUCAAACAAGUGGAAGACAACGUAGACGGGCAUGACCCAGGCCACCAAGUCGAUGAUCUCCCUGUGGACAAAGAGCCAGUAGUCCCUUUUUGGGAUCAAACAUCCAGGGCCAGGAGCUGUGGGCACUCACUUGUCACUGGUAAAGAUGUAUCCCAGCACGUCCUUUGUGGCAGCUAAAAUGGCCCCUACAGCAAUGCAGAACGCCCCUGGAAAGCAGAGCAAGGGGAUGAGCGCAUCCCAAUGGCAAUGGGGAACCUGGGGCAGGGAGAGAAUGGGGCACCGGUCCCAACCUGUGCAGAGCAUGCUGGUGGAGGAGGAUCUCUUGGCUACCUCAAUGUCGCCGGCACCCAGCGCGUUCCCCACCUGCACACUGGCAGCUGUGCCAAGCCCCAGGGGGAUCUGCAGCCACAGGGGGUAAAGACAAUGGCAGGAAGGGCAAUGGAGCAUGGGCUUAAAUUUGGUCAUCUCCUCUGUGGGAAGGGGAGGCAGGAGCAAGGAGGGACUUGAGCACGGAGAGGGGAGAUGUAGAGAAUGGAGCUGAGCUUUGGCUGUAUCUGAGCUGGGACUGACCCUAGGGACCCUCUGCUCUGGACCCCAAAUCCCCAUCCCUUACCAUGAAGGCAACGACGGACACCUCGUAGAUGACAGAUUGUGCCGACAGCUCCACGACGCUCAGCAGCCCUGGGGGCAGGAGGGAUGGGUGCUCAGCCCCCGUGAUGGCCGUGGUGACCCACUGCACCCUGCUAGCCCCCCUCCCUCUGCUGACCUAUCAAGAAGCUGCCGAUUUCGUAAGUCCACCACUCGAUGCAUGCCAUGAGCAUGCUGGGGAUGGCCAGGGAGGUGAAGCUGUCCCACUCCAGCAGACACUCACUGGACCAGCCUGCGGAGAGGAGAGGGGAUGGAGGUUGGAUAUUAGGCUGGAUAUUAGGAAAAGUUUCUUCUCAGAAAGAGCAGUGAUGCGCUGACACAGGCUGCUCAGGGAGGUGGUGGAGUCACCAUCCCUGGAAGUGUUCAAGAAAAGAUGUCACACUGAGAGACGUGGUCUGGAGCAGUCACAGGCUCAGGUUGGUGGUUGGACUUGAUCUUAUUGGUCUUUCCAACCUCAGUGAUUCUAUGGUGGAGAUGGAAGCCAGACUGGCCAAACUUUGCUCCGGGAGCUGUUAGCGGAGCACCCAGCACAACGCUCACAAGCUCCGUGGGACCUCUAGCUGUGAAGCAUGCACGUACAAGCAGAGCUGCAACGCUCAGCUCGUCCCUCCUGGACCAGAGCACCUGAGGACAACAUCAUGCCUACGCCUGCGCUCAUCCGGUUUUGGGACCAAGCCCUCCACCGCCUCGACGUGAGGCUUCCUUCCUCCCCAAUUAAUGGUUACCGCGCGGCGCUCCGCCAACGCCCGCAUGCCAGGGUGCCACCGGAGCAGCACCGCGUCCCCAGGCCGGGGUUAAUGUUUCUCCUCCAGCACUAACAGCGUUCACUCAAAAGACGCUGUAGAAGAUUGACGAACACAUGCAUAAAGCAGAAACUGGAGGGAGAUGCCUUACCUCCCCACGUCUUCACGUGGAGCUUCUUGCCUACAAUGUACAGGAACAAGAAAAUGGUUUGAGAAUACUGAGCAAUGGUGUUGGCCCAGGCAGAACCCCUGGAAAGGAAAUGAGAAAGGUCAUUGGCAUCGUGCUUGCAUCUCCCCGUGUGUGAGGCAUUACUCACACAAUUCCCAGGUGGAACACGUAGAGGAAGAUGGAGUUGGCGAUCACGUUGACAACAUUGCCGACAAGCCCGCUCAGCACCACAGGCCACAAGAUCAUCUGCAACGAGGGGUGAACGGGGGCUGCCAUGGCUGCAGGGAGGCCCUGCCAGCCCCCUCCCCACAGCUUUAACAGGAGAGGAAACUUCUGGCAUUAGAGGUCUCAGCCACCCGUCCCCAUAUCCCAGCCCCGCAGCGUGCUCACCGCGAUGGCCAGCGUGACGGAGGCCAGCUCGACCUUGCCCAGGUGGCCGCAGAAGAUGGAGCUGACCAGGUGUAUCAGGAAGAUCAGCAGCUGGAUCAGGAUCUGAGCGCGGGGGAGAGGAGAUGCAGAGCUCGGCGAUGGAGAUGAGCAGCGCCCUCAGCCGUCCCCUCGCCGAUGCCGUUCUCCUCGGGGCCGCUCGGCCGCUUCAUGCUGCCGCUCUGCCGGGGAGUGGAACAGCUCCUUUCUCCGCGCUCUGUUAAAGCCACCGGCUGCCACAGCCCCGACAGAGCGAGCAAUGUGUAACCUGGGGGUGAACUUCAGCCCGGCCGGCUUGGCUGCGUGCAGCCAGCAGCGAUGGGCAGGGCGGGGAGCGGGGCUGGGGGCAGCACGGAUCCUGCGUCCCAGCGCGGAGCACAAACUGAUGUAGGAGCUGAGCCUUCCCGGAUCGCCCCUGUGAGCCCUCAUACCCUGCUCUGCUGCGUCUGGUGGGC
Molecule: long non-coding RNA, 2646 nt
Organism: Numida meleagris (helmeted guineafowl)
Lineage: Eukaryota; Metazoa; Chordata; Aves; Galliformes; Numididae
Exons: 5
Source: RefSeq, a predicted model, not a curated record